Molecule: long non-coding RNA, 8426 nt
Filed under: Mytilus galloprovincialis (Mediterranean mussel)
Lineage: Eukaryota; Metazoa; Mollusca; Bivalvia; Mytilida; Mytilidae
Source: RNAcentral
CCUUGAGAUAAAUAUGAUAAAACAACUAUGUUCUCCAGUAGUUUCUGUAAGUACAUAUACUUAUAUAUAUAUAAUAUAUAUAUGUAUAUAAAGGUGUGGUAUGAUUGACAAUGAAACAACUCUCUACAAGAGACCAAAUGACACAAAAAUUACCAACUAUAGGUCAUCGUACGGCCUUCAACAAUGAGCAAUGCCGAUACUGCAUAGUUAGCUAUAAAAGACCCCGAAAUGACAAAUGUAAAACAAAGUUCAAACGAGAAAACUGACUAACGGCAUAAUUUGUUUACAAAAAAAAGAAAUAAAAAAAAAAAAAAUCAGUUGAAAACGGCUUAACUCAUCAGAUGGAUAUACAUCUAACAAAAACACAGAAUGUCUAUGUCUAGCUGCUUAAUAAUCAAUUAUCAUCUUGAAAUAUUUUCCACUGGACGUUAAGCAAACAACAUCAACCUAGCUUGUCUUUUGGACACCAGCAACUACACAACUUUCUGUAAUCAUCUGCUGCUAUUUUUACUUGUAAAAAAACACGCAAGCUUCAAAAAUCGAUUUGUAUAUCUUGUAUAUGCAAACUCCUUGUUGAAAACAAUAUGGCGGACGUUAUAUUUUGUAUACAAGACAUACAAAUUGAAUUCUUGAAGUGAAAUUGCACUUUUAAUGAAUAAAAACGAGUAACAUCUUUAAUUUAUAAUCUUUUUGUUGUACACACCAUAACAAAUCUUUUUAUCGGGAUAUAUCAGUUUGUUCUUGGGAUGUUAUAAAGGUUCUUGUAUUUCUCGGGAAAUCGUGGUAUCGCUCUUUGUGGGCCCUGAAACUUGGAAACGAAUAAAUACAUGUAGAUAUAUAAAAAAAAUCUGUUCUACCCUAUGAUACCAGAAGUCCAUUUAUACUUAUUAUGGUUUUCGGAUAAUUCAAGAUACUUCUUAAAGGGUAGUAAUGGGGGUACCUUCAUGACGUAUAACGGUAAAAAUUCUUGCCAAAUGAUGUUAAAAAUUUUAGUGCAUGACGACAAAAUGUACGGUGACUUUCUUUUAGACGAUAAAAAAUCAGCUGAAUUUGACAAAUCACGCUAUUUUUCCAAAAAUAACGGUAACGUUAAUUAUUCAAGAAUAAUUACAUUAAAUGUAUAUUUCAUUACAAUACGUUAUUCUGAUUGGCUACACUGCCGCUUGAAUCUCGCGUUAUUCCUUAAACAAUUGCAUUACACAACAAAAUGUAUCAUUCAUGAUGACACGAGGUCCCACAAAAUCGUAUUUCCAUGAUCAUAGCUAUACGUACUGAAUGGUUCUUUUUGUAACUUCAUAGAGGAGGGGCAAUAGGGGGUCCGUUAACAUGUUGGCAACACCUCGAUUUUGGCAAAAACAGUUAACAAACAUGCAAAAAUGCUGAUUACAGUUAACAAAGUGGGUUGAAAACAGUUAACAGCUUUAGUUUACCUGAAAUUAGCAGUUAACAACACCUUGAAAAGGGCCAAACAGGUUAACAUAAAAACAUAACUAGAGGCUCUGAAGAGCCUGUGUCACUCUCCUUGGUUUAUGUGAAUAUGAAACAAAGGACACAGAUGGAUUCAUGACAAAAUUGUGUUUUGGUGAUGGUGAUGUGUUUGUACAUUUUACUUUACUGAACAUUCUUGCUGCUUACAAUUAUUUCUAUCUAUAAUGAACUUGGCCCAGUAGUUUCAGGUGGAAAAUGUUAGUAAAAAUUAACAAAUUUUUUGAAAAUUGUUAAAAAUUGACUAUAAAGGACAAUAACUCCUUAGGGGGUCAAUUGACCAUUUUGGUCAUGUUGACUUAUUUUUAGGUGUUACUUUGCUGUACAUUAUUGCUGUUUACAGUUUAUCUCUAUCUAUAAUAAUAUUCAAGAUAAUAACCAAAAACAGCAAAAUUUCCCUAAAAUUACCUAUUCAGAGGCAGCAACCUAAUAACGGGUUGUCCGAUUCAUCUGAAAAUUCCAGAGCAGAUAGAUCUUGACCUGAUAAACAAUUUUACGCAGUCAGAUUUGCUCUAAAUGCUUUCGUUUUUGAGUUAUAAGCCAAAAAUUACAUUUUACCCCUUUGUUCUAUUUUUAGCCAUAUCAGCCAUCUUGGUUGGAUGGCCGGGUCAUCAGACACAUUUUUUAAACUAGAUACUCCAAAAAUGAUUGUGGCCAAGUUUGGAUUACUUUGGCCCAGUAGUUUCAGAGGAGAAGAUUUUUGUAAAAGAUUGCUAAGAUUUACGAAAAAUUGUUAAAAAUUGACUAGAAAGGGUAAUAACUCCUAAAGGGGUCAACUGACCAUUUUGGUCAUGGUGACUUAUUUGUAAAUCUUACUUUGCUGAAUAUUAUUGCUGUUUACAGUUUAUCUCUAUCUAUAAUAAUAUUCAAGAUAAUAACCAAAAAACAGCAAAAUUUCUCUAAAAUCACCUAUUCAGGGACAGCAACCCAACAACAGGUUGUCCGAUUCAUCUGAAAAUUUCAGAGCAGAUAGAUCUUGACCUGAUAAACAAUUUUACGUCUGUCAGAUUUGCUCUAAAUGCUUUGGUUUUUGAGUUAUAAGCCAAAAACUGCAUUUUCCACCUAUGUUCUAUUUUUAGCCAUGGCACCCAUCUUGGUUAGCUGGCCGGGUCAUCGGACACAUUUUUAAACUAGAUACCCCAUAGAUGAUUUUGGCGAAGUUUGGAUUAAUUUUGCCUAGUAGUUUCAGAGGAGAAGAUUUUUGUAAUAGAUUAAGAUUUACGAAAAAUGGUUAAAAAUUGACUAUAAAGAGCAAUAACUCCUAAAGGGGUCAACUGACCAUUUUGGUCAUGCUAACUUAUUUGUAAAUCUUACUUUGCUGAACAUUAUUGCUGUUUACAGUUUAUCUCUAUCUAUAAUAAUCUUCAAGAUAAUAACCAAAAACAGCAAAAUUUCCCUAAAAUUACCAAUUCAGGGGCAGCAACCCAACAAAGGGUUGUCCAAUUCAUCUGAAAAUUUCAGGGCAGAUAGAUCUUGACUUGAUAAACAAUUUUACGUCUGUCAGAUUUGCUCUAAAUGCUUUGGUUUUUGAGUUAUAAGCCAAAAACUGCAUUUUACCCCUAUGUUCUAUUUUUAGCCAUGGCGGACAUCUUGGUUGGUAAGCGGGGUCACCGGACACAUUUUUUAAACUAGAUACCCCAAUGAUGAUUGUGGCCAAGUUUGGUUAAAUUUGGCCCAGUAGUUUCAGAGGAGAAGAUUUUUGUAAAAGUUAUGGACGGACGACGACGACGGACGACGACGACGACGACGACGGACGACGACGACGACGGACGACGGAUGCCAAGUAAUGAGAAAAACUCACUUGGCCCUUCGCGCUUCAUACAAAAUGUACUUCGGUCAACGCAUUUACACCCAUAAUGAAGUAACAAAAAGAUCUUCGAGCAUUCAAUUCUUAACAUCUGACGAAUCACGAUAAGGCCCAUGGUAUAUAUCACGGUAACUGAUUUGACGCUAACGGUAGCCGAAAAUGAGCGUUUGAGGCCUGACGGUAAAAGACAUUACCACACUCCUUUAUGGGUCCUGCAAUUUGGAAAAAAAUAAAAAAUAUUUAAUACAAAUAUAAAAUAUUUAAAUAUUUUAUAGUGUAUAUACCUGUUUGUCUUUUUAUCAUUUCUUGUUUAUAAUUGAUAUACCUUAAUUAGGAAAUAAAAAUACUCUAAUUAGGAAAUAAAAUUGUUUGAUUUGACUUAUGGGCCCUGUUGUAAUUUGCGGGGAAAGUAUAUUUGUCAUAUGAAAAUCAUAUGAAUAUAUAAAUGUUUUAUUCUAUACUAUUCGUUAAAUACAAGAGGUCAGAAUAGAAUAGAAUAGAAUAGAAUAGAAUAGAAUAGAAUAGAAUAGAAUAGAAUAGAAUAGAAUAGAAUAGAAUAGAAUAAAUAGAAUAGAAUAGAAUAGAAUAGAAUAGAAUAUUUUUAUUUCCCAAAUUACAAAUAUUCAAUAUUACAGUUACAGAACUGAUAUUCAAAUAUCAGUAUACUAAAAAAAUCGACGUCUUCUAUCAGAUAAGGGACUUAUCAUUUUUUACCUGGGAAAGGGGGGGGCUGAUCAUUUUGAAAUCAAACAUACAAAAUGUCUUGACCCCCCCCAUAAUAUUUCUAUAUUUUUAUUUGAUCACCCCCCCCCCAGUAAAAACAUUUAAAAAAUGUGAUCCCCCCUCUAUUAAACAUGCCAAAAUUUUUACAUGCAAAACACUUAUAAUGGUAUUUCACGAAAAUAUUGAAAAUGAAAUAUUCUUAGUGGAUUGAGUCUUAAAACAUUUUUUGAGGGAAAUUGUCUUGAAAUAGGUAACGUCCAUGAGACCUCUUCCAUGAGGCCUUUACCAUGAUUAUAAGUUGGUAAAGCAAGCCACGGUGCUUUGAGUAUUUUUUUCUGACUUUUUUUUCUAAUUUCCUAUAUCAGUGGCGGAUCCAGGGGGGGGGGUCCGGGGAUUGGAACCCCCUUUUUUGGACGAUCAAUGCAUGUGAAUGGAAGCAUAUAGUUGAACCCCCUCCCCUUUUACUCUGCGGGUUGGGAACCCCCCUUUUUUAAAAUGGCCGGAUCCGCCACUGUAUAUUGUGCUCGUCAAGAAACUUGAUCCUAAGUAACUCUAUAAAAUAACUUUUUGAAACAGUAGCAACACAUUAUUUACUUAGAGGAAUCUUUUAUAUGUCCCUCUCUUGAACACUGAUUAAACUUAUUAAACGUUUUAUGUAAGACCUCAAAUGAGUCGCUAAACUUUUUAUAUAUGGAUAAAUAAUGAUAAGUCCCUAAUAUCAUAGAGAGCUUAUUAUCUUAUCGAUUUUUGUAGCAAGACCAGGGAUAUCGAGUAACUGAUUAGUCACACUCGCAUUAUUUACUUUUUACUGCUUAACAUUGCGCAAUGAUUAAUCAUGUUAUCGAUCGUUCCUCAUGAGCCCCUUGAUAAAAAUUUGUUUUUGUAAAACUACAUUUCAUUGGCUGAUCUUUGGCAAUAUUAUCCAAUUAGAAUUUGUUUAUCAUUCAAGCACCUGAAUAUCAUGGAGGACGAAAUGGAAAUGUAAGAAUUAAUGGAAAAGUUUCAAAACAUAAUAAACUGACUAGCGUUGUAGUUUUAAUAGUUAUCAUAGGAAAAAUAAAGAUAUGUGAUAACCUGCUCCCCAUUCGAUAAAAUAUUCCAGUCCUCUUUGGUCGUCUCUCAGUCAGCGAUACCCAUUACUUUACUCAGGUCUGUGUAUCUUUUCUGCCAAAUUAUAUGUAUAGGCACAUCUUCAAUAUGAAGUCGACAAAUUCCCAGAAUAAAAGGGAGGGAGGUACUGUUUCAAUCAUAUGCCGUAUGUCCCCAUUCAAAAGCAUUGAUCGUAAAAAGGGGGGUUAAAUCAGCCUCCUUGUAUCAAUCACUGCCUACACCAAAAUUAUACGGUAAACGGACAGAAAGUCACAGGACAAAAAGUCACAGGACAUAAAGUCACAAAUUUGAUAGGACAAAAAGUCACAGGACAAAAAGUCACAAAUAAUUUGGUGACAAUUGUUUGAAUAUAUAAGAGAAAAAUAUUUUGAAAUAUUUACUUUUUAAUACAUAUAUUCAUAUUAAAGUUUAGGAAAUGUGUCAUUAUACUUGAAAAAUCAAGAUUUAUUUAAUUUUAAUCAGGCAAAAGAUAUAUUUCUUGGCACCAUGAAGCCAUGUAAGUGCCAAACCACUUUGACAUUUUGUUUUUUUAACAAUUAUUUGAUCAUCUUUGAUAUUUUUUUGAUAAAUUUUGUUAACAAAGUUGGUUUAUAUACAAUAGUUCAAGAAAAAUACAAAAAUAUUUUUGUAGAAAUAAGCGGUUUUUAUUCAAAGAAAAUAAUCAGAAAAAAUGAAUUGUGACUUUUUGUCCUGUGACUUUUUGUCCAUGACUUUUUGUCUGUGACUUUUUGUCCUGUGACUUUCUGUCCUACAUUCAAUUAUACACCUUAUCCCUAUUUGUCCGCCAUUAUUGGAUAUUACACAGGUUCCCGUAAAAAUUAGACCUCACAAAACAAAAUAUCUGACACCACAAUGGAAAAUUGAUAGUUGUAUGCACAAGGAUCCGGAAAUUUUUUCACCUAAUUUCGGUCAUUUUCAUAUAACUCAAAAGUUGGUGCCCCUUUUCAAAAACAGAUUGUCAAAAUCUCAUUACUGCAUGAGUAUGCACCUACUCGUAGCAUCAACGAACUUGUUUAACUGUUGCAUCGCGUUUACUUCAUGAUUUGUCCUACCAUUUUCCUAAAAUCGAUCAAGAGCAAUUAAGGGAAGGCAACAGUUUAAGAAUAAAAUGAUUUUAAUGACUCAAAAUCGUAAUUUUCUCAGUCAUCGCUUACGUUUCUUUCAAUUCUGAAGUGGAAAUUCAAACUGGAUGUAAUGCGACAAUACUAAAACGAACAAUUCCGGACUUAUUCCCGGGAUUAGUUUUGUUUAUCAAAUUCACAGGAAAACAUCGGUUUUUUUUUUAAAAUAUUUUACCUUUAAUAGUGUAAGAAUAUUAAUGAAAAUAGUUGCACUUGCUUUAUUUAGCAAGAAAUCAUUUUAAAUUUACUAUUUAGUGUAAAAUCUGCGGAAGAGAAUUUUAGGCAUGCGUAUCAUAGCACGUGUGUUAGUAGUGAAAAAAAUCUUUUUUCUACGUAAAUUAAAUCAAGUUUUAAUUUAAUUUUAAAUCAUAUUGACAAUUGUCUUAGCUGAAAAGUAAUUAAAUAAUGAAGACAGUUGGUAUUGAAUUUUAAUUUCUUUAUAAUAUUAGUUCGGAGCUUGUGAUUAAUAGCCAGGUGUGAAUUAAAAACACAUGUAAAAGAGAUUAGCGAUCAUUAGCCAAUAGCUCCCCGAGGCAUUAAUAUAGCUAUUAGGAGGGCCCUCAGGAUUAUAACACUUUACUGGAGUGCAGUUUUAACUACAUAAAAUCGAUAACAAAACAAAAAUAUGUUUAAAAUGGCGAUUUGACUCAAUCUCAACAAAUGACCGAAAUUAUUUCUGUUGAAAAAUAAAAUUUGACCUAAAUCCCAAUAAAUGAUUUAGGACUUUUGAGUUUCCAGAUCGGUCAUGUCUGGCAUAUAUGACCGUUUCCGGACCCUUGUGUAUGCAUCAAAAGUUCAAGCGGCCGGGUCAGCCGGAUUAGCGAUAAGGUGUAUAAGGCAAUAUCAUAUACCUUUAUAUUUAUAAAAUCUGAAUAUAAGUGUCAAAAUAACAUACCUUUAUUUCUUUUCACAUUCUCAUAGCUUUAUUCUUUUUGGGUAUACUUGAAUUGUUUUACAUUGUCUUAUCAGGGCCUUAUAUAGCUGACUAUACAGUAUGGGCUUUGCUCAUUGUUGAAGGCCGUAGGGUGACCUAUAGUUGUAAAUGUCUGUGUCAUUUUGGUCUCGUGUGGACAGUUGUCUCAUUAGCAAUCAUACCACAUCUUCUUUUUUUUAUAGUGAAUCCAAUAUUAAUUGACUAGGAUUCUAUGUCAGUUUAAGAGAUAACUGUAUUGUAUUUGAAGCUUUAAGGACGUCCAUCGGUAGUUUUACUGCGCAAAUUAGUUUACCUGGCGACGCGGAGCGGAGAACAGGUAACGGGUAUUUCGACAGUAAAAACCGAUGGACGUCCGAAAGCUUCAAUACAAUACAGUUAUCUCUAUUCUAAUGCAAAACAAGUUUAUAAUUAAAUUUUAAUCAUUAUUUCAGUGUAAAAUGUUCAUUAAAGAAAAUUCCGCGAAAAGAUGUUAUGUUCUUUGGUCUACACUAUGACGUCAUAGGUAUGCUUCCGGCGUCAAACAUAAACAACGGCCGUUUUCUGGCUUCUGUGCCGCUUCAGAAUGUAAUAAAAUUUGAUAAAAAGAAGAUUUUUAGGCGCAACAAGUGAGUUUUUUGUUUAUUAUUGUAGAAAUAACAUGUCAAUACAUUCCGAAAUUCAAAAUGUCGGCUUCCUUAGUUACAGACAAGGAGAUAGAGAAUUUUACGCUUGCUGUUAUCCAAUCAGAACAAUUGUUACAAAAUAAUUGCAUUAGAAUUUCCUAUUGACUGUGAUUUUUUGGGCACUCUAGAUCUUACUUCCUCCACCAAUAAAAACUGGCUGCCACAAAAGAUCCUAAAGUGGCAUUAAAACACUUAAAAUCAUAUCUAAUCAGUGGAGUCUCCCUCGCAAUUGAAUAUAAAAGUUUGUGAAAUGUUGGCUUUGGGGGCACACAGCAUUAGCCAUAUACAACUUGUUAGGGGGUUUGGGGACAUAGAAUUCUAGUGGAUAUAAAUAAGAAGAUGUGGUAUGACUGAGGCUUAUAAUACAUGUUCUCACCAUUGAUGAUCAAUAAUUUUUCAAUUCUUUUUUAGGUUAUAACAAUUAUUUUUGUAAGUUGCAUACACACAGAAUACCUUUUGUAAAUGGUAGUACUUAUUCGUCAAGCUGGAACCAGCUGAUUCGUCCACUGCAGCUACCAACAUUACACAGGAAGAUGAAAUCCAAACAGCGAAGGAAGAGGAAUGCUGGGUAAAUGAUACAAAGG